Molecule: ribosomal RNA, 298 nt
Filed under: Gibbaranea occidentalis
Lineage: Eukaryota; Metazoa; Arthropoda; Arachnida; Araneae; Araneidae
Description: partial 12S ribosomal RNA
Source: RNAcentral
CAUUCAAUCACUUUAGAGGAACCUGUCUAUUAAUCGACUCUCCACGAUAUCUUUCACUUUUAUUUAUAUUUUAUAUACCACCAUCUUUUAGGAUUAAUAUAAAUAUUCUUUCCUUAAUAGAAACUUCUUAUAAGUUAGGUAAAGGUGUAGACUAUAUAAAAGAUAAGAUGGGUUACAUUAAGAAAUACUAAAGGAUAAUCAUUCAAAUAUUUUUGGAAAAAGGAUUUAUUAGUAAUAUUAAAAGAUUAAUUAUAAAUGAAAUUGACAAAUAUGUGCACAUAUCGCCCGUCACUCUCAC